This 74-nucleotide transfer RNA is filed under the name Muribaculaceae bacterium. Its description in RNAcentral is "tRNA-Ile". It matches the Rfam family "tRNA". Rfam says of the family: Transfer RNA (tRNA) molecules are approximately 80 nucleotides in length. Their secondary structure includes four short double-helical elements and three loops (D, anti-codon, and T loops). Further hydrogen bonds mediate the characteristic L-shaped molecular structure. tRNAs have two regions of fundamental functional importance: the anti-codon, which is responsible for specific mRNA codon recognition, and the 3' end, to which the tRNAs corresponding amino acid is attached (by aminoacyl-tRNA synthetases). tRNAs cope with the degeneracy of the genetic code in two manners: having more than one tRNA (with a specific anti-codon) for a particular amino acid; and 'wobble' base-pairing, i.e. permitting non-standard base-pairing at the 3rd anti-codon position. Lineage: Bacteria; Pseudomonadati; Bacteroidota; Bacteroidia; Bacteroidales; Muribaculaceae. The record is from RNAcentral.
CGGAAAGUAGCUCAGUCGGUUAGAGCAUCUGCCUGAUACGCAGAAGGUCGUUGGUUCGAGUCCAGCCUUUCCGA